GGGUUGUGAGGUUAAGCGACUAAGCGUACACGGUGGAUGCCCUGGCAGUCAGAGGCGAUGAAGGNNNNNNNNNNNNNNNCCGAAUGGGGAAACCCAGUGUGAUUCGUCACACUAUCAUUAACUGAAUCCAUAGGUUAAUGAGGCGAACCGGGGGAACUGAAACAUCUAAGUACCCCGAGGAAAAGAAAUCAACCGAGAUUCCCCCAGUAGCGGCGAGCGAACGGGGAGGAGCCCAGAGCCUGAAUCAGCAUGUGUGUUAGUGGAAGCGUCUGGAAAGGCGCGCGAUACAGGGUGACAGCCCCGUACACAAAAGCGCAUGUGCUGUGAGCUCGAUGAGUAGGGCGGGACACGUGGUAUCCUGUCUGAAUAUGGGGGGACCAUCCUCCAAGGCUAAAUACUCCUGACUGACCGAUAGUGAACCAGUACCGUGAGGGAAAGGCGAAAAGAACCCCGGCGAGGGGAGUGAAAAAGAACCUGAAACCGUGUACGUACAAGCAGUGGGAGNNNNNNNNNNNNNNNNNNNNNNNNNNNNNNNNNNNNNNNGGGCGUUAAGUUGCAGGGUAUAGACCCGAAACCCGGUGAUCUAGCCAUGGGCAGGUUGAAGGUUGGGUAACACUAACUGGAGGACCGAACCGACUAAUGUUGAAAAAUUAGCGGAUGACCUGUGGCUGGGGGUGAAAGGCCAAUCAAACCGGGAGAUAGCUGGUUCUCCCCGAAAGCUAUUUAGGUAGCGCCUCGUGAAUUCAUCUCCGGGGGUAGAGCACUGUUUCGGCUAGGGGGCCAUCCCGGCUUACCAACCCGAUGCAAACUGCGAAUACCGGAGAAUGUUAUCACGGGAGACACACGGCGGGUGCUAACGUCCGUCGUGAAGAGGGAAACAACCCAGACCGCCAGCUAAGGUCCCAAAGUCAUGGUUAAGUGGGAAACGAUGUGGGAAGGCCCAGACAGCCAGGAUGUUGGCUUAGAAGCAGCCAUCAUUUAAAGAAAGCGUAAUAGCUCACUGGUCGAGUCGGCCUGCGCGGAAGAUGUAACGGGGCUAAACCAUGCACCGAAGCUGCGGCAGCGAACGUAUCACCCAAGACAACUUUACGGAGUUGACGAUUGACGGAGCGAAGCGACGUCAAAGCGUUCAUUAAAGUCGAGUUGGCUUAGGGAUACGUUCGUUGGGUAGGGGAGCGUUCUGUAAGCCUGUGAAGGUGUGUCGUGAGGCAUGCUGGAGGUAUCAGAAGUGCGAAUGCUGACAUAAGUAACGAUAAAGCGGGUGAAAAGCCCGCUCGCCGGAAGACCAAGGGUUCCUGUCCAACGUUAAUCGGGGCAGGGUGAGUCGACCCCUAAGGCGAGGCCGAAAGGCGUAGUCGAUGGGAAACGGGUUAAUAUUCCCGUACUUGGUGUUACUGCGAAGGGGGGACGGAGAAGGCUAUGUUGGCCGGGCGACGGUUGUCCCGGUUUAAGCGUGUAGGUGUGUGUUCCAGGUAAAUCCGGUUCACUUUAACACUGAGGCGUGACGACGAGGCACUACGGUGCUGAAGCAACAAAUGCCCUGCUUCCAGGAAAAGCCUCUAAGCAUCAGGUAACANNNNNNNNNNNNNNNNNNNNNNNNNNNNNNNNNNNNNNNNNNNNNNNNNNNNNNNNGGAGCUGAAGUCAGUCGAAGAUACCAGCUGGCUGCAACUGUUUAUUAAAAACACAGCACUGUGCAAACACGAAAGUGGACGUAUACGGUGUGACGCCUGCCCGGUGCCGGAAGGUUAAUUGAUGGGGUCAGCGCAAGCGAAGCUCCUGAUCGAAGCCCCGGUAAACGGCGGCCGUAACUAUAACGGUCCUAAGGUAGCGAAAUUCCUUGUCGGGUAAGUUCCGACCUGCACGAAUGGCGUAAUGAUGGCCAGGCUGUCUCCACCCGAGACUCAGUGAAAUUGAACUCGCUGUGAAGAUGCAGUGUACCCGCGGCAAGACGGAAAGACCCCGUGAACCUUUACUAUAGCUUGACACUGAACAUUGAGCCUUGAUGUGUAGGAUAGGUGGGAGGCUUUGAAGUGUGGACGCCAGUCUGCAUGGAGCCGACCUUGAAAUACCACCCUUUAAUGUUUGAUGUUCUAACGUGGACCCGUAAUCCGGGUUGCGGACAGUGUCUGGUGGGUAGUUUGACUGGGGCGGUCUCCUCCUAAAGAGUAACGGAGGAGCACGAAGGUUGGCUAAUCCUGGUCGGACAUCAGGAGGUUAGUGCAAUGGCAUAAGCCAGCUUGACUGCGAGCGUGACGGCGCGAGCAGGUGCGAAAGCAGGUCAUAGUGAUCCGGUGGUUCUGAAUGGAAGGGCCAUCGCUCAACGGAUAAAAGGUACUCCGGGGAUAACAGGCUGAUACCGCCCAAGAGUUCAUAUCGACGGCGGUGUUUGGCACCUCGAUGUCGGCUCAUCACAUCCUGGGGCUGAAGUAGGUCCCAAGGGUAUGGCUGUUCGCCAUUUAAAGUGGUACGCGAGCUGGGUUUAGAACGUCGUGAGACAGUUCGGUCCCUAUCUGCCGUGGGCGCUGGAGAACUGAGGGGGGCUGCUCCUAGUACGAGAGGACCGGAGUGGACGCAUCACUGGUGUUCGGGUUGUCAUGCCAAUGGCACUGCCCGGUAGCUAAAUGCGGAAGAGAUAAGUGCUGAAAGCAUCUAAGCACGAAACUUGCCCCGAGAUGAGUUCUCCCUGAGA
Molecule: ribosomal RNA, 2690 nt
Filed under: Salmonella enterica subsp. enterica serovar Typhimurium
Lineage: Bacteria; Pseudomonadati; Pseudomonadota; Gammaproteobacteria; Enterobacterales; Enterobacteriaceae
Description: partial 23S ribosomal RNA
Rfam family: Bacterial large subunit ribosomal RNA
Source: RNAcentral